This 497-nucleotide ribosomal RNA is filed under the name uncultured bacterium. RNAcentral describes it as "partial 16S ribosomal RNA". It matches the Rfam family "Bacterial small subunit ribosomal RNA", at positions 28 to 507 of the family's 1533-position model. The record is from RNAcentral.
GAUGAACGCUGGCGGCGUGCCUAAUACAUGCAAGUCGAGCGAACGGACGAGAAGCUUGCUUCUCUGAUGUUAGCGGCGGACGGGUGAGUAACACGUGGAUAACCUACCUAUAAGACUGGGAUAACUUCGGGAAACCGGAGCUAAUACCGGAUAAUAUUUUGAACCGCAUGGUUCAAAAGUGAAAGACGGUCUUGCUGUCACUUAUAGAUGGAUCCGCGCUGCAUUAGCUAGUUGGUAAGGUAAUGGCUUACCAAGGCAACGAUGCAUAGCCGACCUGAGAGGGUGAUCGGCCACACUGGAACUGAGACACGGUCCAGACUCCUACGGGAGGCAGCAGUAAGGAAUCUUCCGCAAUGGGCGAAAGCCUGACGGAGCAACGCCGCGUGAGUGAUGAAGGUCUUCGGAUCGUAAAACUCUGUUAUUAGGGAAGAACAUAUGUGUAAGUAACUGUGCACAUCUUGACGGUACCUAAUCAGAAAGCCACGGCUAACUACGUG